AGUGAACGCUGGCGGCGUGCUUAACACAUGCAAGUCGAACGAGAACGGGUUAUAGCUUGCUAUAAUUGUCAGCUAAGUGGCGCACGGGUGAGUAAUGUAUAGGUAAUAUGCCUCUUACUAAGGGAUAACAAAUGGAAACGUUUGCUAAUACCUUAUACUCCUUAUUAACAGAAGUUAAUAAGGGAAAGAUUUAUUGGUAAGAGAUUAGCCUGUAUUGUAUCAGUUAGUUGGUGGGGUAAUGGCCUACCAAGACUAUGACACAUAACUGGUUUGAGAGGAUGAUCAGUCACACUGGAACUGAGACACGGUCCAGACUCCUACGGGAGGCAGCAGUGGGGAAUAUUGCACAAUGGACGAAAGUCUGAUGCAGCAACGCCGCGUGGAGGAUGACACAUUUCGGUGCGUAAACUCCUUUUAUAUGAGAAGAUAAUGACGGUAUUAUAUGAAUAAGCACCGGCUAACUCUGUGCCAGCCGCCGCGGUAA
RNAcentral lists this ribosomal RNA (484 nucleotides) under uncultured bacterium. RNAcentral describes it as "partial 16S ribosomal RNA". It matches the Rfam family "Bacterial small subunit ribosomal RNA", at positions 29 to 523 of the family's 1533-position model. The record is from RNAcentral.